Molecule: ribosomal RNA, 465 nt
Filed under: Vreelandella stevensii
Lineage: Bacteria; Pseudomonadati; Pseudomonadota; Gammaproteobacteria; Oceanospirillales; Halomonadaceae
Description: partial 16S ribosomal RNA
Rfam family: Bacterial small subunit ribosomal RNA
Source: RNAcentral
CCUACGGGCGGCUGCAGUGGGGAAUAUUGGACAAUGGGGGGAACCCUGAUCCAGCCAUGCCGCGUGUGUGAAGAAGGCCCUCGGGUUGUAAAGCACUUUCAGUGAGGAAGAACGCCUGGUGGUUAAUACCCAUCAGGAAAGACAUCACUCACAGAAGAAGCACCGGCUAACUCCGUGCCAGCAGCCGCGGUAAUACGGAGGGUGCGAGCGUUAAUCGGAAUUACUGGGCGUAAAGCGCGCGUAGGUGGCUUGAUAAGCCGGUUGUGAAAGCCCCGGGCUCAACCUGGGAACGGCAUCCGGAACUGUCAAGCUAGAGUGCAGGAGAGGAAGGUAGAAUUCCCGGUGUAGCGGUGAAAUGCGUAGAGAGCGGGAGGAAUACCAGUGGCGAAGGCGGCCUUCUGGACUGACACUGACACUGAGGUGCGAAAGCGUGGGUAGCAAACAGGAUUAGAUAUCCUAGUAGUC